Molecule: ribosomal RNA, 253 nt
Filed under: uncultured bacterium
Lineage: Bacteria
Description: partial 16S ribosomal RNA
Rfam family: Bacterial small subunit ribosomal RNA
Source: RNAcentral
UACGGAGGGUGCGAGCGUUGUUCGGAAUCACUGGGCGUAAAGCGCGUGUAGGUGGCAUUCUAAGUCUGGUGUGAAAGCCCGGGGCUCACCCCCGGAAGUGCAUCGGAUACUGGGGCGCUAGAGUACCGGAGAGGAGGGUGGAAUUCCUGGUGUAGCGGUGAAAUGCGUAGAUAUCAGGAGGAACACCGGUGGCGAAGGCGGCCCUCUGGACGGAUACUGACGCUGAGACGCGAAAGCGUGGGGAGCAAACAGG